CUCCUACGGGAGGCAGCAGUGGGGAAUAUUGCACAAUGGGGGAAACCCUGAUGCAGCGACGCCGACGUGGAGGAAGAAGGUCUUCGGAUUGUAAACUCCUGUCGUUGGGGACGAUAAUGACGGUACCCAACAAGAAAGCCACGGCUAACUACGUGCCAGCAGCCGCGGUAAAACGUAGGUGGCAAGCGUUGUCCGGAAUUACUGGGUGUAAAGGGAGCGCAGGCGGAAGGACAAGUUGGAAGUGAAACCCACGGGCUCAACCCGUGAACUGCUUUCAAAACUGUUUUUCUUGAGUGGUGUAGAGGUAGGCGGAAUUCCCGGUGUAGCGGUGGAAUGCGUAGAUAUCGGGAGGAACACCAGUGGCGAAGGCGGCCUACUGGGCACUAACUGACGCUGAGGCUCGAAAGCAUGGGUAGCAAACAGGAUUAGAUACCCUGGUAGUCCAUGCCGUAAACGAUGAUUACUAGGUGUGGGAGGAUUGACCCCUUCCGUGCCGCAGUUAACACAAUAAGUAAUCCACCUGGGGAGUACGACCGCAAGGUUGAAACUCAAAGGAAUUGACGGGGGCCCGCACAAGCAGUGGAGUAUGUGGUUUAAUUCGAAGCAACGCGAAGAACCUUACCAGGUCUUGACAUCGGAUGCAUAGCUAAGAGAUUAGCGAACCCUUCGGGGCAUCCAGACAGGUGGUGCAUGGUUGUCGUCAGCUCGUGUCGUGAGAUGUUGGGUUAAGUCCCGCAACGAGCGCAACCCUUACUGUUAGUUACUACGCAAGAGGACUCUAGCAGGACUGCCGUUGACAAAACGGAGGAAGGUGGGGAUGACGUCAAAUCAUCAUGCCCUUUAUGACCUGGGCUACACACGUACUACAAUGGCGUUAAACAAAGAGAAGCGAAGCCGCGAGGUGGAGCAAACCUCAAAAACAACGUCCCAGUUCAGACUGCAGGCUGCAACUCGCCUGCACGAAGUCGGAAUUGCUAGUAAUCGCGGAUCAGCAUGCCGCGGUGAAUACGUUCCCGGCCUUUACACACCGC
RNAcentral lists this ribosomal RNA (1031 nucleotides) under uncultured bacterium. Its description in RNAcentral is "bacterial SSU rRNA". It matches the Rfam family "Bacterial small subunit ribosomal RNA", at positions 336 to 1393 of the family's 1533-position model. The record is from RNAcentral.